UAAAUAAUCAAGAAUUCAAAGCAUACGAUCAGCCUCUCAAGUCUUGCAUAUCGAUCAUGGUAAGGCAUGCUUAGCAGCGAGCUCACGGCCAUGUUGACUCGGUCGCGCGGGGUCAACUGAUCAGCAUUCUAAGUUCUUUUCUAUCGCUCUUAUCGUCAAUCAUUCGUUCUUUAUAUGCGGCUGUUGUGACUAUGCAGCUGUCAAAUUGACAAAACGAGCAUAAAAUUGUCUCAGCCGAGCUUGGCCUUUCUCAGUCGCCGCUUUUCAUUUCCUGCCAAUCGUCAGCAUUUAUCCAAGUAACAGAUCUUCGUUAUACUCGACAGGAUUGUGGGCAACAAGGGCACUGCAAGCUGCAGCACAGGCGGAAGCUGGUGCAUACUGCUCACUGAGUUCCCCUUCCCGAGCUGGUAAGCGCGAGUGAGGGAGGGAGGGAGGGAGGGAGGGAGGGAGGGAGGGAGGGAGGGAGGGAGGGAGGGAGGGAGGGAGGGAGGGAGGGAGGGAGGGAGGGAGGGAGGGAGGGAGGGAGGGAGGGAGGGAGGGAGGGAGGGAGGGAGGGAGGGAGAGAAUAAUUACACUUGGUAGUGGCGAAGCCACUGAUGACUAGGGCUGACAAGCCCUAGUGUUGGGUGAGCGAGUUCCACACGCUCACCCCUAGGCACGCCCGACACAGCAGGGGAUAAGGCCCCAGUCCUGGUCAAGACAAAAGAGACACGGAGACACAAGGCUCACGCCUUCUCCACCAAAAGAAAGCACUAGGGCGGAGCCUCAGAGGGGCAGACACAACUGCCUCCUUCACACCACACCACACGUACACACCAGACCAAAACACAUGCCAGGAAAACACCGCCCGCCAAGGCCAGAAACACACACAAGGCCGCCCCGCCACAAACAACACCCCUGGCCACAACAGAGGGAAAGCAAGGCGCUUAGGGGGGUUUCACAUGUGACAUGCGAAGCUAGCUUCGGGUCGAAACCAGGUCGAAACCAGGUCGAAACCACCCCCGAAACCAGGUCGAAACCACCCCCGAAGCCAGCUCGCGAAUCCGGGUCCGCAGCCCGGAUUCGCCCAACACACAUACUUAGUUUCGAGACGUCUGAAAUUUUCUAUACUAUUUUCUUACUCCAAUCAUGUGAUAUCAACCACUUGGACGCCGAAACCCUCGCGGCGACGAGCAUUGCUGUGUGCCGUGGAGCAGAGUGCGCUUAUAGUUGCGACAGCCUCCAUCAAAAUGGUUAUGAUCUUCAUACUAUUAUAUUGUAGGUGGGAGCGGGGCUAAAGCAUCCUCCAUGAGCGCGCACGCCUCGCAUGUUUCGACAUGUUGGGCUUUCCUAGCUCCUGCACGAGGAUUACACCGUGGUCGCAGCAACUAUGCAACAAAAACGCUUCAAAGCACUAUAUGUGCCAUACAGAAUGUUCGGGGGCGGUGUAUGGAGCGAGGUGGACUCGGCAUGUCGCGGUUGCGGGCGAGUCACGCAUCGGGAACUCACUAUGCGUGUAAAAUAAGAGUAUGGGAGCGCUGGGAUUGUAUGCGGAGACAUAAUUCGGCCCUUCCAGAGCUGGAUUGGCGCCCAACCAAGGUGGAUUCGAGGCAGCCGCAUGUGAAUCGGAUUCGCCCCUGGCUUCGCCGAAGCCAGGUGGAUUCACCGAAACCGGGUUGUCACAUGUGAAACCCCCCUUAACGCGCAUAAAGCAAGCUAACCAAGCCCCCUCAAAAGGACCAGCAGGGGCCGCUCUCUGGCGGAAACCACACCCUGCAUCGCUGGCCUUGGCGAAAGCCCCCCAACCACAAACAUAAAAAAUGAAACAGAAAGCCUGACCCUCUCUAGCCGACCUUCUUGUACCUGUGGAACCGUGCUUAGUCCUCGUCACUGUCCGUGAUGGUCUGAGCGGGUUGUCCCGCGUUCAUACCUGUGUGACAGCGCAACUGGCCGUUUACUACUCUCAGGAAGGGAUGCUGCGCACCCACUUGAUCCCAGCCCUUCCGCGGCACUCCCAGUGCUGUGAAUGUUUUUAAGCGACCCCACAAGUCGAUCACUGCCGUGUCAAUCGCUUGUUGGGUGUCCGUCUGUAUUUGAGCCUGUUGUUGCUGCUGCUGCUGCAGCUGCUGCUGCGGCUGCUGCUGCGGCUGCUGUUGCGGUAACUGGCCCUGCUGUAGAGGUUGUUGCGGCAGUGGUGCUGUGGCAGCGUUGGCUAGGCCACGGCGCCUUGCGGCGUACAGCGCGCACCGCCCCCUCUCCAUAGCCGCUAACGCCGCACUAGCCACUACAUCCCACACUGCUUGUUGCACGCCAGUCGGGGCCUCAAACAACCACACCUGCUCCCUGGUGGGCGGGGCCGCAAGCUGCGCUGCGAGCUGCUGCACAACCGCCUGAGCUACUGCGCACUGCCAAAACGCGUGUAGCCUGGGGCUGUGGGUUGGCGUCACACCGCAUCCACACGGCACCGGACCAUGCACCGGACCGGUGCAUGUGUGAGAUGCGUGUUACCGGCAAUGCCAAUGCCGUUGAUUGACACCCCCCAAGCUGUCUCCUUGUGGGCAUUCUCCCAGCAUAUCCGCCAGAGCCAGUCGAAGGGGGGAAUCCAGCGUUGUGGGGGGGCUGCUGGUGGUGUCUCGCGCGCCUCAGCUGCAUAUGCCGUGUGCAGUUGACUGCGGGCUACACCCACGUCUCCCAGUGCGUGACGAUAGCAACACGUACAGACAGUUUCUCCAGCGCCAGGGGUUGCUGCAUGCCAGGUAUCCUCCAGCCAAGGCAAGGCAUGAUCAGCCGAACCACUGCCGACUCCGAGGGCGGGGUGGGCCCAACCCAGCCUGGAGCCGUUCCUGCACUGCACGGGGACUGCACCAGACCAAAACACACGCCAGGAAAAACACCGCCCGCCAAGGCCAGAAACACACACAAGGCCACCCCGCCACAAAAGCCCACCAAACAACACCCCUGGCCACAACAGAGGGAAAGCAAGGCGCUUAGGGCGCAUAAAGCAAGCUAACCAAGCCCCCUCAAAAGGACCCGCAGGGGCCGCUCUAUGGCGGAAACCACACCCUGCAUCGCUGGCCCUGGCGAAGCCCCCCAGCCCCAACCACAAACAUAAAAAAUGAAACAGAAAGCCUGACCCUCUCUAGCCGACCUUCUUGUACCUGUGGAACCGUGCUUAGUCCUCGUCACUGUCCGUGAUGGUCUAAGCGGGUUGUUCCGCGUUCAUACCUGUGUGACAGCGCAACUGGCCGUUUACUACUCUCAUGAAGGGAUGCUGCGUGCCCACCUGAUCCCAGCCCUUCCGCGGCACUCCCAGUGCUGUGAAUGUUUUUUAAGCGAAACCAUAAGUCGAUCAAUGCCGUGUCAAUCGCUUGAUGGGUGUCCGUCUGUAUUUGAGCCUGUUGUUGCUGCUGCUGCUGCUGCGGCUGUUGCUGUGGCUGCUGCUGCGGUAGCUGGCCCUCUAGAGGUUGUUGCGGCAGUGGUGCUGUGGCAGCGUUGGCUAGGCCACGGCGCCUUGCGGCGUACAGCGCGCACCGCCCCCUCUCCAUAGCCGCUAACGCCGCCAUAGCCACUACAUCCCACACUGCUUGUUGCACGUCAGUCGGGGCCUCAAACAACCACACCUGCUCCCUGGUGGGCGGGGCCGCAAGCUGUGCUGCGAGCUGCUGCACAGGAGGGAGGGAGGGAACACAUGUUUUCUACUGCUUCCCCCUCGCUGCUUCCCCCUACCCCAACUUGCAUUCACCUCCCUGCACCCCAAUACAGAUGACCAUGGGUUUCAUGCCAUGGCUACAACGUGCAGCCACCAGCAGCGGGAGCAUGAGGUCCUGUCCAGCAUCUUCAUAGUGGUGCCAGGAAAGGUGAGCUCGGGGCCGGGUCGCUGGGAUUUGGAGCGGGGUAGGGAGCAUAGGGAAAUGAGGGGGGCAGCAAGAGAUAGUCCAAGUUUGCAACUUGUGGAUUGAGUACAUUCACUUAUCCAUGUGGAGGCAAUGUGGUAGGUAAAGUGGCGCCACAAGGCAGUGGCCGGCCAGCCAUGCAGUCCUUCAGAGCACUGCUUCCUUAUUCCCCUCGUAGCCUACAGCAUAGAGGUGCUGCUACCUACCAUGGUAUCCGCAGCUAAGCGAUUUCAUAGCUUAGGAAAAGGUACCUCCACAACUGUGGUUGCAGUGCUUGCAAGCUGGCCGAUAAGGCCACCAGCGGCAACAUUGGCAGCACCAGCUGCGGCCCUGGCUGUGGUAGCGGUGGUGGUGGAAAUAGCAUUCCUCCAAACCCGCACAAAUGCUAGUCAUGCAUGGCAACCACUGGGUUCUUACAUGCUGCUGCCCGUCGCUACGGCAGUGCCUACCAUGGCACUGCAGGCGACUAGCAGUCCCACCGUGCCCCGGGGAUGCCACUGAUAGCAGCAUUAGUGGCAUUUGCUUGGUUAGAUACAGGGGAGAUAUGGUUAGAUGUGCCAUCACGCCUUGGGGCCAGGGGUCAUAUCUUGUUUUGGGAAUAAUGUCUAGCUCCAGACAAAAACGGCCGGGUGGCCGCCGUCUUUUGUCUGGGCACAUGGCGGUUUGGGGGCUUCUCCAUAGGAAUUCGGACAAAACCCGCCCCAAACCUGGGCCAACAAAGUCUCACCCCAGACAUUAGCCCCCCGGAGGAAUGUCUAGGAAACGGUCAAAAUGGCCAAUUAAUGUCUGGAGACAUUAAGAUAGGCGCACUGCUUGGGGCAGCAGCGGGAUCGACAGCAGCAGCCUCAGCCCCAGCGCUAGGAGCAGCAACAGCAGCAGCAGCGGUGUUAGUUGCACCAAUGGGCGGAAGCAGCGCCAUCAGCAGCUUCUGCUGGGUGGCAGUCAGGCUCGGCCUUUCCUAUCACUGGUCAGUACCUCGCAAAGCCAACUCGGCUCUGGCAAGCUGGGACUUGCAGUGCUAGAUAAGCCUGCAGAGUCGGACACCGUGGCGGGCAGGCACACAUAUUGACGUGCGAUCAGGUUGGCGGGCCAGGGUUACCCAGGAUGCUUCCCUCUCCCCCCAAACACGUUUGUAAUAAUAGGCAAUACGGAUAUUUUCCAAUAUUAUACGCUCAAGUAUGUGACACAAUAUGCUGGUCCACACUGCUAGUACGUUGGCAAAAUACGCUGGGCCAAAACGGGGGUGGACGGGCCAAAAACUGGGGUGGAACCAUGGUGUGUUGGAAAAACCACAAAGCAAAGCCCGCCCAGACGGCGCCGACCAUGGUGUGUGGGUGUGAGUGUGGUGUGGGUGGGUGGGUUGUGUGUGUGUGUGUGUGUGUGUGUGUGUGUGUGUGUGUGUGUGUGUGUGUGUGUGUGUGUGUGUGUGUGUGUGUGUGUGUGUGUGUGUGUGUGUGUGUGUGUGUGUGUGUGUGUGUGUGUGACUACGGUUUCCACGGUUAUUCUGCCAGAUCACGUGAAUCGUGUAUCUGGUAUAACCAACGACAGGGCUCUCAAUCGAGGGCUGCCGUGACCUGGCGUUUCCCCGGCAGAGCGCAAACAGCUCUGCAGGAGUCCACAGUGUAACGCACUCCGACCCUGUGUGUGUGUGUGUGUGUGUGUGUGUGUGUGUGUGUGUGUGUGUGUGUGUGUGUGUGUGUGUGUGUGUGUGUGUGUGUGUGUGUGUGUGUGUGUGUGUGUGUGUGUGACUACGGUUUCCACGGUUAUUCUGCCAGAUCACGUGAAUCGUGUAUCUGGUAUAACCAACGACAGGGCUCUCAAUCGAGGGCUGCCGUGACCUGGCGUUUCCCCGGCAGAGCGCAAACAGCUCUGCUGGAGUCCACAGGGUAACGCACUCCGACCCUGUGUGUGUGUGUGUGUGUGUGUGUGUGUGUGUGUGUGUGUGUGUGUGUGUGUGUGUGUGUGUGUGUGUGUGUGUGUGUGUGUGUGUGUGUGUGUGUGUGUGUGUGUGUGUGUGUGACUACGGUUUCCACGGUUAUUCUGCCAGAUCACGUGAAUCGUGUAUCUGGUAUAACCAACGACAGGGCUCUCAAUCGAGGGCUGCCGUGACCUGGCGUUUCCCCGGCAGAGCGCAAACAGCUCUGGAGUCCACAGGGUAACGCACUCCGACCCUUCACCGCGCCAGUAACCCUUGCGGAAUUACUACCGGUGUAACAACCUCAGACCCAGCGGGCGAGCUACAUCUUAAGACCAGGCGGGCAGAAAACAAAAAAACAGCAAACAUAACAAAACACGCAGCACGCAGCACACGACAGCACGCGAUAGCACGACCACAGUGGCUGUGGGGCUGAGUCCUGCGACCCCGCAGCCUGCACGACCUCAACCGCAACCUAACCAGCUCUCGACGCCAGGGCAGACUAUGCCUAAGGGCAGCCACAAACGCGUCUGGCCACUAGGCCGGUCCAGGCCGUAAGGCCCGGGGUGUUGCAGCACCCAACACACCCUCUCAGGCAUAAAACCCCACAAACCUUGCCCUGCUCCCACGGGCGUAAAACAAAAAACCCUUCGCCUGCCCACUAAGCUCCCCCGCUGACCCUCUCGUAUGCCACUGCUUCAGUGGCUCAUGUUAGUGCUCACGCGCUUCUCCUAAGGGCUGAUCCCUUUCAAGCCUCCAGCUCCAUAGCUUGCGGCAUCGCGCACAGCAUUUCACCGUUUACCACCGCCAGGAUGGGGUGAGUGGCGUCAACACCAUCCCAGCCCUUGUGGGGCACGCCGAGCUGCGCGAACUGCAUCAGCCGCGACCAGAAGUCCGCGACGGCGCGAGCGCACGCAAGCUCGACGGGGUUGACGCCUGGCUGCGGCGGCGUCAGCUGUGUGGGCGGGAUCUCGUCAAGAUCGGGUUCCGCCUCCGCUGCACCUGCCACCGCAGCCUCGGGAGCUGCUGCCGCCGCCGUCUGAAUUCCCAGGGCCGCUGCGGCGCGCGUCAUCCCGCGCAGCCGCACCCGGCCAUGUUCUGUGGCGGCCAGCGCCGCCAUCACCACCACGUCCCAAACACACUGCUGAAAACCCGGCGGCGCCUGGACCAGCCACAGCUGGGCUUGGCUGAUGGGAGACGGACCGGGGUUGUGCGCGUUGAUCUGCGCCACCACGGCCUUCGCCACCGCGCAAUCCCAGAAGUGGUGCUGCCGUGGCGAGGGCGCGGCGGCGGCGUGUGCCUCCGCCGCGGCGCCCCCAUGGCCGUGCUGCCCACAGCCGCAUGGCCACGGCGAGCCAACGGCAUAUGCGAGUUUCCCGGCAGCGGCACUGCGUCGAUGGCCAACCGCCACAGCGUCUCAAAGUGCCGCCGUUCCCAGCGUACCUUCUGCCAAAGGCGCGCCAGGGUGUCCCUAAUGGCGCCAAGCGUUGCAGCCGCAGCUGCUGGCAGGUCCUCCCGCCGCACCACAGCGCGCGGCGGCAGGCCCUGUGCCGCGCGCUCGUAAUCCUCGUGUAGGUCCGCCCGCCGCGUGGCCACAUCGUCCAGCUGUAUGGAUGUGGCCAUGCGGACGGACAGCUUCGCUAGGGGGACUUUGAGGAUCUCAGAGCCAGAGAGCUUCCAGCCCAUGCGCGGCAUGAUGGUGGUGCGGACGACCUCACUGGUGGACGGCGCCGGGACAGGCGCUGGGCCAGGGCUCGCCAGCUGUGCGGCGUGAGCCUGCGCUGCACUCCACCAUGAUGGCGGGAUGUCACCGACAAGGCCCUGCAGCGCGGCGAGCGUGGGCCCACGGCGCCGGCGGUGUGUGUGUGUGUGUGUUUGUGUGUGUGUGUGUGUGUGUGUGUGUGUGUGUGUGUGUGUGUGUGUGUGUGUGUGUGUGUGUGUGUGUGUGUGUGUGUUACAAAACGAAACGAAAGCCCGCCCAAUGACGCGACGGAGUUACUUACCAAUACCUACCAAUUUACCAAGCUUUGCGUUGCGACCCAGGUAGUCAUACUUACCCGCGAUAAGCCUGGAACCCCAUGGGCGACCAUUCUGCCUGACCUCGUGAUGCACCUGUAUGCGUCCAUGCUCCGCACCCUGGGCACGCUAAACAACGUUUGCCCAGCACGCCGGAUUCCGUGAUACCGGCCCGCUGGGUGUAGUCAAGCUCACUUACAGGCAGUAGUGGAAGCAUGGGCAUAGGGCGGCAGCGAGGAAGUGCCAUAGGCAAGCAAAUGGCAAAGGUGACAAGUGGGGCGGCGUGCAGCAGACAAGCUAGGUAUCACGCGUGCUAAAGCCCGCCCACUAAGUAUAACAUAACCAAGAGAAGCGGGCGAGUUAGCGGUGGCGCGGCGACUAAACGGGGUUAGGGGACGUGGCGGGCGGCGGUUGCAGCGUCUCAAAACGUGUCAGACAUCGGCUGGUGGUGCGUGUGUGCAUGCUUCGCCAUGGGCUGGCGAGAGCUGGCCUCUCGCUCCCCACUCCAUGGCGGCACCGAAGCUAGGCAUGCUCACGGCCGCAGUGGCCGCGUCAGUGGUGGGGACAGGCGUGGGGGGCGGGACAGGCAGGAUGGCAGACUGUGGCGUUACAGCAGCGCGCGACGGCGACCACGGGAGUCCCGGCACGAGUCCCGGUCCAGGCGCAACGACCAGGCCCCGCGCUCGGAACAAUGCCCACCAUGUUCUCCUCCACGCUCCCGAGGACUUAAAACUUGAAGCUUUUUGUGUGAAUGCGGAUGUUACAGAGGGGACAGUCCCAGCACCCGAAGACGCCAAGCCAUCACAUGCUACCAGGGCCCAACUUGACUCCACCAACCCCGACUUUCCAUAGGAAAGAUUGAUUUUAUUCGCGAACUACAUCGCUGACUCAGCCACAGAGAGAAUGCGAAAGAUAGCCGAAGAAGAAGAGGUAGAGCACAUGCUGUGCGUCACAAGUUCGUUGGGUGCCGAGGUCGGUCAAAAGUUUGUUGGGUGCCGUGGUCAGUCGGUCGGACGUGCCGUGUGUGCCCCCAGUUUAUUUCCGGCUUUCCCAACACAGUUUCUUACGUAUUGCCUACACGCAUUAUGAAUCAGUGUGCAAUACGUGUACUGGGACAUUGUUCAAUAAGAUGAUGCUUGCGGGGCACGCCCAUGGAUCGCUUGGCGGUCCGCUAGUGGCAGCUGGAUAACCGGAAGGGCUGCCUUGCUCACGCCAUGUACAGACAAGGGAAAAGUGGGCUGCGCCCAUGCCAUGUCUCUAGUCUGAGGCCGCGAGCGUCUACCUCAUAUCCGGACAUAGCCGGGGUUGGUUUGUACAGGCAUGGCCCGCCAUGCAUCCAACCACAUCUCGCUGUCAAGCACAAGCGCAGCCAGCAAAGGACAACCAAUAAGCAGGAAAUGCUCUGGCCACAACACUCCUCACUGCUGCGGCCUACCACAUGCUGUGCGGUGCUAUGCUCGCCAGCAAAGACCCUAACCAGACACCGACCGGCCUUGCCGGUGCCGCUUCUUGGGCGGCGCCGUGCUUGCCGCUUCUUGGGCGGCGCCGUGCUCUCCUCCUCCACACGGCCUUGCUUGCCCCCUCCGCUUCACACCUGCACGCUCUCCCUCUGAAGGGAAAACUGGGCUGCGCCCAUGUCACGUUGGUGCUUCAAGGCUUCAAACAUGCCAGGACUCCAAAUCGCUGCACUUGGGGGGCUCAGCCCAAAUCAUGCAUCCUGAACCAGGGGGUGGGGGGGGGGGUGUAGAUACCAGCCCAAACUAAACCGACCCCAAUGUAAAAGAGCCAGGAGGAGGAGGAGGUAGAAUCAUUCGAAACAGACUCCCUGCUUCAAACAGAUAGAGGUUCAUGAGGAAAUCACGAAACCGCUUGCACAACCGAACAUGGGUUUCAGGGGUGCAAAGUUAUGGCCUCUCAAAAUUGGCGGUAAGUCAGUCAGUUUGGGUUACCAGGAGAUUUUGCACUGGUUCGCGCUAGGUUUUGUUCAUAGCGCUUCUGUCCUGCAGCGCGUGGCGCAAUGGGUGCAGCACAAUGAUGCGUGCAUACCGCAUACCUUGGAUUCAGAUCAUGUGCAUAAUUUGGGGAGCGGCAUAUAGGCAUGUCGGGAGACGCCUGGGGAGCUGGCCAGGGACAUGCCGGUGCCAGCCGGGAGUUGCAGGGGUGAACGUGAAAAAUGGGCUGAGCCCCUUAUAGAGCAAGAGAUGUGACAAUGGGUACCGGCGACAUGAACAGCACCCUUGCAAGCCCAGCGGGAAGGGCAUAGGGGUAUGCCAACGCCGUGUCAAGGCACCGCCACGUCCUGUCUACGCCACUCCACACAUGAGUCCGUGGUACCUCAUUCCAAAUCCCUUACAAGCACCACAAACAGCUAACCGGGCUUGGGCGCGGGACCCAGGGCCGCGAAACAUUUAAGGCGGGCUUGGCACGCAUGGUUCGGCUGUUGCACAAAAUUUCGACAUUCUUGCCCCAAGACGCUUGUCGUCGACAUGUUUUGAUACAUGGAUGUAAGAAAUUUAGGGCCCGAGAGCUAAGGGGUUCUGAGGGGGGUUUGCAGGGGGCACAGACGCAUGCACGGCAGCAGUUGCUUUGUUCCUCAUGGCACACACAGUUGUGUGGCCAUUCACUGUGCCUGCCCCUUCCCCUCUGUCCCAUCGCAUUUUCUGUGCCUGCCCCUAACAGGCCUGGCGUCCCAAGCCCAUGCAAACCGACUCCAACAGCUUUCCUGCACAGAUAUCUAAUGCGGAUUGUGUUUAUUCCUGUCCCCAUUGCAACUGCUUUCACGACCAUGGUGGUCCGCACCCAUUGCACAGAGCGGAAGUGUGUGCGAGUGAUCUUCGUUAAUGACUUUCUUGUCGUGACCUGGCGUGUGACCGUGCAUAUCGUGUGACUGAGUGAUUUGGGUGUGGUUUUGGCGUGUGGGAAGAGGGGAACGUGCCCGAGGUUGGUUGGCCCGACACGGUGUACUGCAUGGGAGGCCAGAGUACGGGUGAUCAGAGAGAGGAUAUAGGUCGCGUCUGAGAGCGGCUAGAGCCGUCAGGCACACGAAACGUUCAUUGUCCUAUCAUAGGGCGCGACAUUCUCAAG
This 10887-nucleotide long non-coding RNA is filed under the name Chlamydomonas reinhardtii. RNAcentral's name for it is "long non-coding RNA (CREI_LNC000844)". The record is from RNAcentral. Lineage: Eukaryota; Viridiplantae; Chlorophyta; Chlorophyceae; Chlamydomonadales; Chlamydomonadaceae.